UACGUAGGGUGCGAGCGUUUGUCCGGAAUUAUUGGGCGUAAAGGGCUCGUAGGCGGUUUGUCGCGUUCGGGAGUGAAAACACCGGGCUUAACUCGGUGCUUGCUUUCGAUACGGGCAGACUAGAGGUAUGCAGGGGAGAACGGAAUUCCUGGUGUAGCGGUGAAAUGCGCAGAUAGUCAGGAGGAACACCGGUGGCGAAGGCGGUUCUCUGGGCAUUACCUGACGCUGAGGAGCGAAAGUGUGGGGAGGCGAACAGG
This 257-nucleotide ribosomal RNA is filed under the name uncultured bacterium. Its description in RNAcentral is "partial 16S ribosomal RNA". It matches the Rfam family "Bacterial small subunit ribosomal RNA", at positions 524 to 776 of the family's 1533-position model. The record is from RNAcentral.